RNAcentral lists this ribosomal RNA (316 nucleotides) under uncultured soil bacterium. Its description in RNAcentral is "bacterial SSU rRNA". It matches the Rfam family "Bacterial small subunit ribosomal RNA", at positions 26 to 346 of the family's 1533-position model. The record is from RNAcentral.
AGAUUGAACGCUGGCGGCAUGCUUUACACAUGCAAGUCGAACGGUAACAGGCCGCAAGGUGCUGACGAGUGGCGAACGGGUGAGUAAUGCAUCGGAACGUGCCCAGUCGUGGGGGAUAACGCAGCGAAAGCUGUGCUAAUACCGCAUACGAUCUAUGGAUGAAAGCGGGGGACCAAAGGCCUCGCGCGAUUGGAGCGGCCGAUGUCAGAUUAGCUAGUUGGUGGGGUAAAGGCCCACCAAGGCGACGAUCUGUAGCUGGUCUGAGAGGACGACCAGCCACACUGGAACUGAGACACGGUCCAGACUCCGUACGGGA